This is a long non-coding RNA of Papaver somniferum (opium poppy), 1245 nucleotides long. RefSeq lists it as uncharacterized. The record is from RefSeq and is a predicted model, not a curated record. The transcript is spliced from 7 exons. NCBI's taxonomy places the organism in Eukaryota, Viridiplantae, Streptophyta, Magnoliopsida, Ranunculales, Papaveraceae.
CUUAUUCUUCUCAUCGAUCGUUUUACACACACAGUGAUGAUGAUGAUCAUAAUGAUUUUCAGAUCCAUGUCUAUACUUUUAGCUUUCUUCUCUGAUUCUGUUUCUCUCUCGUUCUCUUCAAUACUUUUAGGGUUCAACUACUCUGAUUUUAGAUGAACUUGUAAAGGCUUAAAUCAGUAGUAUUAUUAAGGUCGAAUGAUUUGUUGAUUUCAUAGAUCUCAAAUCCCAAAUCGCGGACCAACACCAAUUCAUUAAGGAAGAGCUGGGGUUCCUAUAGAAGUCAUGAGAUUGAGUUUGGGAAGUUUGUAGAUGAAUAUACUGUUCGUGUGGUUGAUGUUUAUGCUACGCCUCUUGGGAUGACUUUAUGUUGUGAAAGAAGUUGGGUGAAGGUGCUUUUGGAGUAGUUUAUAGAGUUUCUUUGACAGAGAAACCUUAGCUCAAGAUGGCGAUAAAGGAACUGCUUUUAAGCACUCAUUUCUAUGAUUGCUGAUGAGGGCAGCAAUAGUGAGAACUUUGUGUGAGGGAAGUUGAAGUCCGUAAGGCUGUUUUCUGUUCAAGUUUAUUUAUAAUCAACAUUUCUAAUUGCAUUAGUGAUUCGAUUUAAUUUAAGGUAUAUAAGAGUGUUUUUGUGUUCUGUUUCUUUUGAUUGGUUAGGUGCAGCUGGCAUUGGAAAUGAGAGUCACGAAAGUAGUUAGUAUUGACCUUUCUGGAAAUCUUGGAGAUUGGCUAUCUUGUCGUACUGUCAAGCACUAGAGAAGUUCGCUCCUCAUAUCCAACAUGCAUGUGUUGACAAUGUUAUGGGCUAUUAACAUUACUCUGCAUAGGGUUGUUCUCCAGUUACUUAAUGUGAUGGUGUGACUGCUCUUGCAGUUUAGCAUGAAGAGCAAAGGGAAGGGUGUAUCAAUUGACGGUGUUCCUCUUCCUUUCGAGGCAGGCGAAAUUGAUUUUGGUGAGCCAGAUUCGAACGACCAACACAGCUUUUACCAGCUAAUUCACCAGGGCCGCGGGAUUCCUUGUGAUUUUAUUGGUGUUGUUAAGAGUCAACAACCUGUGUACCUGAAAGGUGCUACCCUAACAACAGUUCCCUUAAGAGUAAAUGUCUUAUCAAAAGGCUUAUAUUACAAGGAACUGUAAUUAGAUUUUUAUAAUGGGUCACUCAGCCUUCUACUUCCUUCUUUGAACACAUGGGACAUGUUUGUCACUAAUUGAGCUUUAGGGUUACCCAAUUCUUAGUUUUUUGCAAUA